GCCUGAAACCAUAAACAUGAAUUGCUGUAGUAUCAGUUGAAAAAGAAAAUUGAAGUUGCAAGGUCCCUAUUGAAAUAAACUGCACAACUUUGUACGCUUGGAAACAGGCAAACAAAAUACCAAUAGAAAUUCAACAUUGCUCAAGGUGCUCGUGCCAUAUGACAUGCAUCAUCGAACCAUUUUGGACGUAGAAUGAAGUCAUACGGUUUCAUGCCUCAUUGCAAUAAAGCAUAUUUUCAGUAUCCUCAUCUUUGCUGCUAAUUUUGACCCUUUGAAUGGAUAGCCACAAUUUAUUUGUUUUAUUUCCUUUGUUUAGAUUAAUAAUAGAAGGUGAAAGACUAGACCAAUAAAUUUUGUAGUUUAAGAAGUAAGUUUCAGAAUGUUACAAACAACCAUCCAGGAGAAGAGGGUUACCCAAUAUAUACAAUUACGGUAGCGAACAAUCCCUUAUGCAUGAAGUGAACAUACCACUUAAAGACACAUGUCAAUGCAUAAAUAUUUUUGAAGUACAUAUUCCUGCAAGUCCAAAAUCUUCAACACCUCCACUACUAACAACUCAUGGGAGAUUAAAGAUAACAUUUGCCCAGUUAAAACUGGUAUUUUGCCAUCACAGGGGUAUUUGGAUGGUCUAAAUUUCAUUCAUAACAUGAGAUGCAGCCUGAUAAGUUAAAGAUAUUUGACCUGCUCAAAUGAAAUAGCUUGUUUCGCACUACAAUAUUGCUUUUUUAUCUGAUGACAGCUUUUGUUAAAGCUUAAUGAAACAAAAUGGACAAACAUUUUAUAGCUUACAAGGUAAUCGUGUAACAUAGGCAUGUCUUGCAAUUGAUAGUAUAGAGUAUUAAUAUGCAACUUUCCAAUCUUAUAUAUUUUCUGCUAUGAUCAUCAAAAAAUAAACUUUCUAGUUUUGGCUCAUUUUGUCAGCAAUCCUUUGAAGAUGAAAUUAAAAACCAUAGUGUUUUGUCAUUAGUCUAAGUCAAUCUGUGCUCCAAGAUCAUAAUUCAAUCAGUUAUAAAGCAAUGAGUGCUUGAUAAACCAAAUGUAAUGCAUAAGAGAGUUAAAGUCAUUAACAAAGUAUAAAUUGGACAAUAUGUGCUCUAGCUGCUCAUAAAAAAAAAAGAGUAUGAGCUAUGUAGAGAUUGCUGCCGUCAAAGAACAAGUCCUAGGAAUAUUAAGAGUUUAGCACGAUUAAUUAGAAUCAUUAUAAAAUCUUCUACUAAUGCAUUUUCAGAAAAAAUUAACGUACCACCAGAACACUUGGUGCCACCUAAUUACACAAGUGGAGCCAGGUAGGACCUCCCCUUAGAACACUUAGGACCAGACCAUCUACCUUACAAAGAUUGUGUGCUAGUAGGACAAUACUUGCAAAAUAAGUAGUAAAUUCUUGCCCACAAUUGGGACUCUCUGUAUGUCAGUAGUAAGCACUAAAACCAAUAACCAAGCUAUAUUCUUUAGCAGAAAAACCAAAACCCAAAUCAAUGUCCUCCAGCAUAUCAUCAGUACAUCUACCCAAAAACCUUCCAUCAAAAUGUAGAUGCAUCUUCACCUAUUUCACCAGAAAAUGUGUUUUUUUUUUUCAAACAAUCUCAUCCAGAAAGCACCACCAACAACUUCUUCCCAAGGAAAGUCCUCCACUCUUGCAGCUCGUCACCCAAGUGAAGAGGGCUUGAAAAAAUAAGAGAAAUGACUUGCCAC
RNAcentral lists this long non-coding RNA (1692 nucleotides) under Phoenix dactylifera (date palm). RNAcentral's name for it is "long non-coding RNA (PDAC_LNC006459)". The record is from RNAcentral. Lineage: Eukaryota; Viridiplantae; Streptophyta; Magnoliopsida; Arecales; Arecaceae.